AGUAGCGGGCUCGAGGAGUCGACCCUCGAGGCGCUUAUACGCGCAGUGCGAGGUGCCGACGCGCGAAAUGCCUAGUCGCGGGCUCGAGGAGUCGACGCUCGAUGCGCUUAUUCGCGCAGUCCAAGGUGCCGACGCGCGAAAUGCCUAGUCGCGGGCUCGAGGAGUCGACGCUCGAUGCGCUUAUUCGCGCAGUCCAAGGUGCCGACGCGCGAAAUGCCUAGUCGCGGGCUCGAGGAGUCGACGCUCGAUGCGCUUAUUCGCGCAGUCCAAGGUGCCGACGCGCGAAAUGCCUAGUCGCGGGCUCGAGGAGUCGACGCUCGAUGCGCUUAUUCGCGCAGUCCAAGGUGUCGACGCGCGAAAUGCCUAGUCGCGGGCUCGAGCAGUCGACCCUCG
Molecule: long non-coding RNA, 393 nt
Filed under: Dermacentor andersoni
Lineage: Eukaryota; Metazoa; Arthropoda; Arachnida; Ixodida; Ixodidae
Description: uncharacterized LOC126535527
Source: RNAcentral